CUUCAUAGUUGGUGGGGAGGGGAAGUAUCAAGACAGGACAGCAGGGGAGGGGAGAGGGGGAGAGAGAGGAAAGGAAUCAGUAUCGCCAUUGUCGGGCCUUUCCGAACAAACUGGACACAACAGUGCGUUUUUUUUGUUUUUUUUACUUCUCAAAGUUGGGUCUUCCUUCUCCCUUCAGACAGAGAACGCAUGAAAGACACAAGGAAGAACUGUGGUGGGUUCGUAGUUUAAAGUUUAGAUACAUCUUUAUUGUUAGAAAACUCAGGAUGUCAAUCCCAUUCUUUCUUGACCACCCACACACACACACACACACACACACACACACACACACACACACACACACACA
Long non-coding RNA from Alosa alosa (allis shad), 346 nucleotides. RefSeq lists it as uncharacterized. The record is from RefSeq and is a predicted model, not a curated record. Lineage: Eukaryota; Metazoa; Chordata; Actinopteri; Clupeiformes; Clupeidae. The transcript has 2 exons.